RNAcentral lists this ribosomal RNA (460 nucleotides) under uncultured bacterium. Its description in RNAcentral is "partial 16S ribosomal RNA". It matches the Rfam family "Bacterial small subunit ribosomal RNA", at positions 338 to 795 of the family's 1533-position model. The record is from RNAcentral.
CCUACGGGAGGCAGCAGUGAGGAAUAUUGGUCAAUGGACGAGAGUCUGAACCAGCCAAGUAGCGUGAAGGAUGACUGCCCUAUGGGUUGUAAACUUCUUUUAUAAAGGAAUAAAACGAGGCACGUGUGCCUUUUUGCAUGUACUUUAUGAAUAAGGAUCGGCUAACUCCGUGCCAGCAGCCGCGGUAAUACGGAGGAUCCGAGCGUUAUCCGGAUUUAUUGGGUUUAAAGGGAGCGUAGAUGGGUUGUUAAGUCAGUUGUGAAAGGUUGCGGAUCAACCGUAAAAUUGCAAUUGAUACUGGCAGUCUUGAGUACAGUAGAGGUAGGCGGAAUUCGUGGUGUAGCGGUGAAAUGCUUAGAUAUCACGAAGAACCCCGAUUGCGAAGGCAGCUUACUAAACUGUGACUGACAUUGAUGCUCGAAAGUGUGGGUAUCAAACAGGAUUAGAUACCCCUGUAGUC